AGAACGAACGCUGGCGGCAUGCCUAAUACAUGCAAGUCGAACGAACACUUCGGUGUUAGUGGCGCACGGGUGCGUAACGCGUGGGAAUCUGCCCUUGGGUUCGGAAUAACAGUUGGAAACGACUGCUAAUACCGGAUGAUAUCGAAAGAUCAAAGAUUUAUCGCCCAGGGAUGAGCCCGCGUAGGAUUAGCUAGUUGGUGAGGUAAAGGCUCACCAAGGCGACGAUCCUUAGCUGGUCUGAGGAGGAUGAUCAGCCACACGUGGACUGAGAUACGGCCCAAGACUCCUACGGGAGGCAGCAGUAGGGAAUAGUUGGACAAAGUGGGCGACAAGCUGAGUCCAGCAA
Molecule: ribosomal RNA, 346 nt
Filed under: uncultured soil bacterium
Lineage: Bacteria
Description: bacterial SSU rRNA
Rfam family: Bacterial small subunit ribosomal RNA
Source: RNAcentral